RNAcentral lists this ribosomal RNA (459 nucleotides) under uncultured bacterium. Its description in RNAcentral is "SSU rRNA". It matches the Rfam family "Bacterial small subunit ribosomal RNA", at positions 26 to 518 of the family's 1533-position model. The record is from RNAcentral.
AGAAUCAACGCUGGCGGCGUGCCUAACACAUGCAAGUCGAACGAGAAAGUGGAGCAAUCCAUUAGUAAAGUGGCGCACGGGUGAGUAACACGUGACUAACCUACCUUUUAGUGGGGGAUAACCUAGGGAAACCUGGGCUAAUACCGCAUAAUACCUACGGGUCAAAGCAGCAAUGCGCUGAAAGAGGGGGUCGCGGUCGAUUAGUUAGUUGGCAGGGUAAUGGCCUACCAAGACUGUGAUCGAUAUCCGGCCUGAGAGGGCGCACGGACACACUGGAACUGAAACACGGUCCAGACUCCUACGGGAGGCAGCAGUGGGGAAUUUUGCGCAAUGGGGGAAACCCUGACGCAGCAACGCCGCGUGGAGGAUGAAGUCCCUUGGGACGUAAACUCCUUUCGAUCGGGACGAUAAUGACGGUACCGGAAGAAGAGCCCCGGCUAACUUCGUGCCAGCAGCCGC